AGCUUGCUAGAUUGAUGGCGAGUGGCGAACGGGUGAGUAAUACAUCGGAACGUGCCCUGUAGUGGGGGAUAACUAGUCGAAAGAUUAGCUAAUACCGCAUACGACCUGAGGGUGAAAGUGGGGGACCGCAAGGCCUCAUGCUAUAGGAGCGGCCGAUGUCUGAUUAGCUAGUUGGUGGGGUAAAGGCCCACCAAGGCGACGAUCAGUAGCUGGUCUGAGAGGACGAUCAGCCACACUGGGACUGAGACACGGCCCAGACUCCUACGGGAGGCAGCAGUGGGGAAUUUUGGACAAUGGGCGAAAGCCUGAUCCAGCAAUGCCGCGUGUGUGAAGGAGGCCUUCGGGUUGUAAAGCACUUUUGUCCGGAAAGAAAUGGCUCUGGUUAAUACCUGGGGUCGAUGACGGUACCGGAAGAAUAAGGACCGGCUAACUACGUGCCAGCAGCCGCGGUAAUACGUAGGGUCCAAGCGUUAAUCGGAAUUACUGGGCGUAAAGCGUGCGCAGGCGGUUGUGCAAGACCGAUGUGAAAUCCCCGAGCUUAACUUGGGAAUUGCAUUGGUGACUGCACGGCUAGAGUGUGUCAGAGGGGGGUAGAAUUCCACGUGUAGCAGUGAAAUGCGUAGAGAUGUGGAGGAAUACCGAUGGCGAAGGCAGCCCCCUGGGAUAACACUGACGCUCAUGCACGAAAGCGUGGGGAGCAAACAGGAUUAGAUACCCUGGUAGUCCACGCCCUAAACGAUGUCAACUAGUUGUUGGGGAUUCAUUUCCUUAGUAACGUAGCUAACGCGUGAAGUUGACCGCCUGGGGAGUACGGUCGCAAGAUUAAAACUCAAAGGAAUUGACGGGGACCCGCACAAGCGGUGGAUGAUGUGGAUUAAUUCGAUGCAACGCGAAAAACCUUACCUACCCUUGACAUGCCACUAACGAAGCAGAGAUGCAUUAGGUGCUCGAAAGAGAAAGUGGACACAGGUGCUGCAUGGCUGUCGUCAGCUCGUGUCGUGAGAUGUUGGGUUAAGUCCCGCAACGAGCGCAACCCUUGUCUCUAGUUGCUACGAAAGGGCACUCUAGAGAGACUGCCGGUGACAAACCGGAGGAAGGUGGGGAUGACGUCAAGUCCUCAUGGCCCUUAUGGGUAGGGCUUCACACGUCAUACAAUGGUGCAUACAGAGGGUUGCCAAGCCGCGAGGUGGAGCUAAUCCCAGAAAAUGCAUCGUAGUCCGGAUCGUAGUCUGCAACUCGACUACGUGAAGCUGGAAUCGCUAGUAAUCGCGGAUCAGCAUGCCGCGGUGAUACGUUCCCGGGUCUUGUACACACCGCCCGUCACACCAUGGGAGUGGGCUUUACCAGAAGUAGUUAGCCUA
This 1361-nucleotide ribosomal RNA is filed under the name uncultured Ralstonia sp. RNAcentral's name for it is "16S ribosomal RNA". It matches the Rfam family "Bacterial small subunit ribosomal RNA", at positions 77 to 1437 of the family's 1533-position model. The record is from RNAcentral. Lineage: Bacteria; Pseudomonadati; Pseudomonadota; Betaproteobacteria; Burkholderiales; Burkholderiaceae.